GUGCUCGCUUGCUUCAGCAGCACAUAUACUAGAAUUGGAGCAAUACAGAGAGGAAUAGCAUGGCUCCUGAGCGAGGAUGACACGCAAAUUCAUGAAGCAUCCCAUAUGAGA
Pteronotus mesoamericanus is the source of this 111-nucleotide small nuclear RNA. NCBI's taxonomy places the organism in Eukaryota, Metazoa, Chordata, Mammalia, Chiroptera, Mormoopidae. The record is from RefSeq and is a predicted model, not a curated record.